GGUUCUGCGCCUGAGCGCUGGACCUACCCUGCCCAGGCCCACUGAGGCCCUGCCUGGCGCCCCCAACACUUCCUGACUUGGAAGAAGUGUUACGCCACGGGCCGUGGGAUUUGGCUUCUCUAGUGGCCAAUCGGAGGAGGCAGGAACACCGUCUAAAAAUACGGUGACCGGGAAGGUAUAGGCGAUGGUUUCAGAAGACGAAGGCAGCCAGGAUCCCUGAGUCACUGCAUGGAGGAGAGCCACGCAGGAGAAUCUCUGACCUGCACUGGACAACAAUGAACUUUCCAGAUGCUAGUUUCUUUGGCUUUAUCACAAACCCUCCCUGUGGAUUUCUAGCUCCUGCCAUACCUCAUCCGUUUGUUGACCCUUGUCCAGACCAGGAUGUCUGCGGGGUGAUGUCCUGCCUGGAGCACCAUAGGCUGCAGCUGCUCUCACUGGGAAACGUAUGUACUGCGAUGCCAGGGAUGAAUCAAGCCGAGUCCCUCUCCAGCCUUGAGAAUGGCUUCGCGGGCCAGGGCGGACUCAGACAUCCACAGAUCAGCCACAUGGCCCAAGUUGACAUCACGUACCUCCUGAUAUGACAUGCUGGGAUGAACGGAGCAUUACCUCUGGGAUAGUUCUGCCGUGUUACUGCAACAAGAACUCAUCGAAAGGAAAUACCAAACAAGCCCAAAAUGAGGAGCUUUCUACAAAACAACUGGCGUAGACACUUGAGCAAUGUGGUCGCCAUGAAAAACAAAAAAGAAAGACGAAGAAACUGUUCUAGAUUAAAGGAUACUUAAGUGACGCGACAUCUAAACGUGGUGUAUAAUCUGGGGCUUUCUUUUGCUCUGAAGCACUUCGCUGAGGCCAGGCACAGUGGCUCCCACCUGAAAACCCAGCACUUUUGGAGGCUGAAGUCGGAGGAUCACUCGAGGCCAGGAGUUUGAGGCUGCGGUGAGGUGCCUCACACACAGUGAGACUCAUCUCCCACCGCCUGGCUCUAACAGGAUCAUCUCCCUCCUCCGUUUCCCAGUGGGCCCUCAUUAGCAUCAAAACGAAAUUCGAGCUCCCGUCUGCUCUAACCUUUACGCUGACGACAUCAGCGAGCAACUUGUUUCUCUGGGCCUGUGGUCCUUGGGAAAUGCUGGUGAAUCCUGGGCUGUGACAACCCCGGGAGUGAUGGCUGAUCCCGGCACAGCUUCUGCCCUUUAUCCUGUCCAUCAGCUACCAGCCAGCCUGCGUGCCCUUGACAUUUCCCAAGCAGGAUCCAACCCCAGCGUGGGCUCUGCUCACCAUAAUGCUUGUCGCCAUCGGGACCCCCUCACUCGACUGAGGGAAAGGACAGCAACCUGUCAUCUAUCCACCUUCGUUGGCUAAAUUAUUUUAAGACUUGCUCCCUCAAAAUAGACGGACAUAUUUUUCAAUGUAUUAAAAACGAACUGGAGGCCAGCGCGGUGGCUCAAGCCUGUAAUCCCAGCACCUUGGGAGGCUGAAGAGGGCAUAUCACCUGAGCCCCCACCGAUACCUCCCAUUCACCGAACCCGAGAGGAAACUGGCCCUCCAGGAGCUCUAGCGCCAGCAGACACCAUAGAAAGAGGCGGGCUUGAGGCUGACGGAAAAGAAGGAAACGACCAACACACCACAACAAAAAGGGUCAAAGAGCAUUGUGAGUAUCUGCAUCCAGCCCUUU
Long non-coding RNA from Callithrix jacchus (white-tufted-ear marmoset), 1672 nucleotides. RefSeq lists it as uncharacterized. Lineage: Eukaryota; Metazoa; Chordata; Mammalia; Primates; Cebidae. The record is from RefSeq and is a predicted model, not a curated record.